UACCUUGAAGAGAUUGUUCAUUAUGACUCGUCCAUCUUCAGCAUGAACGUGCAUCGCGCUCAUGAGAGAUGUUCUACUUAUCCGUAGUAUUUGAGAUAACUCAGUUGUCUUUACCGUAAAAGGUUGUGGUCUAUAGCAUAAAACUCCAAUCUCUCCAAACAUAUCUCCAACAACUGCUUUGCCUUGAAUCUGAUCUUGUCCAUCAACAUAGGCUGUGAAAUCCUACAACAGUUACACAACGUUUGAAGGUAAUUAUUGAUAAUUCUAUGCUAUUAAUUAAAUUUUUACUGAUAACCAAUAUAACUCGCUUACCACUGAUCCUGAGACCAGAAUGUAAAGAUCCGUUGGAGCUUCGUUUUGUAGAAUUAUAUCUUCCUUAGGUGGGAAAUACUCAGCAUCUAUAUCUGAAACCUUGGGCAUAAAAUGGUAACUUCAUGAAACCUCUUAGAGUGAUAUUAAAAGUUGAAAUGAAAAGUUAGAGAAUAUAAUUUUACCAAUUGAAAGAGGAAGUCACGAGAAACUCCUUGAAAUAGAUAAAUGUUUUGAACAAUGGGGAAGAAGAGAUAGUUUGCAAUGCUUGACCGGAUUGCUUUUGGCAAAUUGUUCAAAGUUUCUUGUUGUUUCAAGCCCUCUGUUUUGAACUUCAGGCAAAAGUGUGAUAACAUUUGGUCUUGUAUGUCAUGUGGGAGUUGGUUUCUUGAAGCAAACUCUGAAGCAGCUCUCACUGUAUCUCUCUGUUGUAUAGAAAUCAUUAGUAUUUUGUCUAGUUUGAACAAGUUAAUACUAAAGACAAGUAAAAAAUAUUUGACCAUGUCUAUAACUUUCAGUAGGUUUAACAAUUAACUUGAGGUAGAUCAAAAUAUGCAUGUGUAUUCAGACAAGAUAUAUGAUCCUACCAUACCUAAUUCAAAUUACCUAUAAUUUUCAUGUAAGGAUAACAGAAAUUACUAGGUUAGAUCAUGAAAUUUUAAUUUAUUAAUUUUAAAUUUGGAUAUCCCAAUAACCUGCUUGAAUUAUAUCAAUAUAUAAAAUUAUAUAAGUUUUUGCUUUUCAAAGUACCCAACCUUUUUUAUACAAAAUGAACAUGCCUAGCUAGAUCAAAAUAAAGGGAUCAUCAAACUUACAAAGCUUCUGGUUCGGCUAGUCCAGUGAACAACGAGGUUAGUCAUAUUACCAAUCAGGUAAGCCGUCAAGCCGAGGUUGAACAUCAUGAAGAAAAUGUCAAAGAUCAUUUCUCUUGGAUUCUCAGGAUGCAAAUCUCCAUAUCCAGUGGUCGUCAACGUCGUAAUAGACCAGUAAAGAGCAGUCACAUAUCUAUUCCAGAGACUUGUUUCCUUGAAAUCUGGAUAAACAGCUCCAAUCCAUGUCUUUCUUGGAUUGGGAUAUCUAUCUGCGAUCAGGUAGUUGAAACAUCCAGCACAAUGUACAGCAAACAAAGUGACCUGAGAUUUAUAAAAAAUUCAAGUUAUAAAUUAAUAAAAUAGAAAAUCUAUAUUAUUAAUUUAACUAUAUAUUACUAAUAUGGAGGAAAACUAAUUGGCUCAAAUUAGAAUGUGAAAAUUUAUUUAUUUAUCAUAUAUUAAUAUGUAGAGUUUAUUAUAAAUAAAUAAAUAAAAAGCUUUUUGCUCUGUUUUGAGACUAACCGAAAUGAGUUUUGUGCACCGUAUCCAGAAAUAGUUGAAACGGAUAUCUUUCUCAAGCCUGAAGCAAAAAGAAAGAGUUAGAGAAAUGCGAUAAAUACUUUUAUAAUAUGGUCUUAAGCAUUGCAAUAAUUAAACCUUGCGAACAGCGAGCUAACCCGUCUGAGCCUCCAUAACCUGAGCAUGCUAAGAAUUCUAAAUCCUAACUCGCUUCCAUUAUAGUGAAACAGGAGGCUCAAUGGCUGAAAUGGUGCUGUAGAACACACAUCGAAGGCGAACCAAGUAGAGAGGUACCUGAAAAUGUUCACAUUUUCAUGAAUAUGAUUCACUUGUACAAAGGUUUCAAACUAAUUUUAUUUCUAACCUUAUUGUUAUUUUCUUAGGGUUGUCAACUAGAAGAUAGGAGUGGCUAUCGAGAUAGGCGACGAAGAAGGUGAGGACAAUAUCAAUGGCGAAGAAGCCGUUAACAAUAUUGUCUAUGAUGAAAAGGGCGUCUUUCUUGUAGGUGAUGAAGGCAAAUUCAAAAGGACAAAUCCAAGCUGAGUAAAUGACUAGAAAGACUAACCACAUCUCCCAUGCUCUGUUCCAACAUAAACCAGAGGAUUGAGAGAAACAUAACAUAAUCUGGUUAAGUUAAAAUUUACAUAAAACAUAGUUUGGAGAUUAUGAGAAAAUUACCUAUAUUUUGGAUUAAAAGGAGAGAUUAUGUGUUUACGUAGCUUAGUUGAUUGGUUAAUUCUAGCUCCAAGAGAUGGCAAAAGAUCUGCGGAGAGGAAGCUACUAUGUUUUAUGGUAUCAAUAUUGUAUUCCUCAACGCAGAAUCUUUCAAAGAAUAUUAGAAUUAGACUUUUGUCUUAAUGGCUUUUCACUUGCAAUGUUGUUUCCUAGCUAGUACAUGAUUGAAUCAAAUGCUGCCAUGCUGGGUUGAUAGAACCGUAUUUUAUAUUCUACGGAGAACUAAAUACGGUAAAGAAUAAGAUUGAUAAAAUUAUAUCAAAGAUUAAGAAAAAGAUGAUACAACUGCAGAGGCGAGAUAUUAUCUAUUUCCUUAACUCAAAUACGUCCCGUAGUGCGACGGUUCGAUAACGUAAUGAGUCCAAAGAUACAACUAUAAUUAAUCUUCUCAUUUGCGUCACUCUAUCAGAAGUCUGGCGAAACUAGUUUUGUGUGUACUCUCAGACUCAAAAAAAAUAUCAAAAAGGAAAAUGAAAUAUGAGCGAUUGAUUUGUUUUCUCUGUCUUAGAAUAAGGAAGACCAUUGUCUAUAUAUAUAUACUCUCAUAGUAUUGCCCAAUAAAUCCAAGCAAUAGUGGAGAGAUACGGAGGUUACGUUCUUCAUAUUGAUUCUCAAUCAAUUAUGAAUAAAUGUGAUAUUAAGUUUGGAAUAAAUUGCUUGGUUGACCAGGACAAAUUAUGUACCAAAACAUAAUAAAUAUCUGGAGCACACAUAAUGGUAUUAUGGAUCGACGACCCAUUUACCAAAUCCCGAAACCCAAAACUCGAGUCCGGUCCAGAUAUUUAACACACUUUAUAUUAUAAUGUGAGACAUUUUACAAAUGUUAUAUUUUAAGCUUCGUAAACAACCCAUAUUAAACCUCCAUUUCUUAUUCAAACCAACUUCGAUUUUGACCAACAAAUAUACUAACUCAUAGUGUUCACGGUGACGAUUCCAUCGUGCCCAAACUCUGAUCAUUCCGACAGACGUCUCCGUCGGAAAAAUGGUCCGCACUACUUUGUCAAAAAAGAGUUCCACCAUGGGUAAGGUCCGUGACCAAAAUCUAAAAAGACACACUAUAAUAAUAUGUACACACAAGGUUCUAACUUUUGUUGGUGGCCUAAAACACGCUCUAAACUACUGGAAAUCAAAUGUUUCCCAACAAUUGUGUAGCAUGUUUAGAAUACGUUGAUGUAUACAAACGUGAAAGAGAACAGCAAAGCUACCAAUUCAUUAAGGUUGUGGUCUUCAUGAAUCUUUUUUUUUUUUAUCUUUUUAAAAAGGUUUUUGACCAUAGAAAAAUUAGGGAUGGUUAUUUUUCAUUGAUUUCUUGUUCGGUUUCCAAACUGUAUCGAAAAGUCAUAGGAGAUAUAUACUCUAUGAAUUAUAGUACAGUGGUUUAAGAAAAGAUGAAGCAACAAAAAAUUAUUCAUUGCACUACUUUAUUUCGACUUUCUCAUUUUUCAACUUUUUUGUUAUUAAAUUAUAUAUCAUAUACAUCCCAUAUACUAUUGAUCUGUGUUGUUGUGUCAAUCAAUAUCAGGUUUCGUAGAUUACAGUUUUGAUAAUCCAACUGUUCUGUGAAACCGAGUAAGAAUACACUGUCGCGGACAUACAUUGCUGUAACGAAGGAAGGCUAGUCUCAGUUACUACCUCCAAACUCAGUUUGAUGAAAAAAACAAAUGAUCACCAUCCCUAAUGACAUCUAAAUCAUCAAUCUCAGUGUUCUCUGCAUUCGUGAUCUUUGUGAAGCUGCAUCCUCCAAACUUUUCACCUACAUAAUUCCCAAAGUUUCAACGGUUAGAAAUUUUUUUCACAAAGGAGAGUUUUGUUCUUCAUUUUGAGUCUUUUCAGAGCUUACCUGCUAGAAUUACAAGCUCUUCUAUGGAUUUAGGUAAGAGUAUCAACUUCCCGUUAUGGCACUGUGAUUGAUCUUUCUCUUGUGACAACAUGUGAAUGGUAACUCUCUUGUCGUGUCCUCUACAUGGCUUGGUUUGGAUGCUGGAGCUGCAAUGCUGAUGUUUAACUAGCUUCUUAAUUGUUUCAGUAUCUCCCUUGUGAGUUGCAUCCAUUAUAGCCUUUUCUCCACUGUCUGAAGUUGACUCUGUAACAUCUAAACAAUUGGCAUCUUUUCUUGAAUCCAUCCACUCUUCCCAUCCCAUUAGUUGAAAAUUUAUGUUUUGUUGGUCAUUAUUUGUAUCUUCUAUUGCUAUUGAUUGUUGUCCUCUAAGUUUCUUCAAGUAUUGUAACAAAACAUGAGUUUAAAUUUGUUUUAACUAUAUACAUAAGUUUCAAGAGUAUUGUUUUUAGCUCACAUACCUUGAAGAGAUUGUUCAUUAUGACUCGUCCAUCUUCAGCAUGAACGUGCAUCGCGCUCAUGAGAGAUGUUCUACUUAUCCGUAGUAUUUGAGAUAACUCAGUUGUCUUUACCGUAAAAGGUUGUGGUCUAUAGCAUAAAACUCCAAUCUCUCCAAACAUAUCUCCAACAACUGCUUUGCCUUGAAUCUGAUCUUGUCCAUCAACAU
RNAcentral lists this long non-coding RNA (4879 nucleotides) under Brassica napus (rape). Its description in RNAcentral is "long non-coding RNA (BNAP_LNC014611)". Lineage: Eukaryota; Viridiplantae; Streptophyta; Magnoliopsida; Brassicales; Brassicaceae. The record is from RNAcentral.